GACGAACGCUGGCGGCGUGCCUAAUACAUGCAAGUAGAACGCUGAAGGAGGAGCUUGCUUCUCUGGAUGAGUUGCGAACGGGUGAGUAACGCGUAGGUAACCUGCCUGGUAGUGGGGGAUAACUAUUGGAAACGAUAGCUAAUACCGCAUAAUAGCAGUUGUUGCAUGAUAACUGUUUGAAAGGUGCAAUUGCACCGCUACCAGAUGGACCUGCGUUGUAUUAGCUAGUUGGUGGGGUAACGGCUCACCAAGGCGACGAUACAUAGCCGACCUGAGAGGGUGAUCGGCCACACUGGGACUGAGACACGGCCCAGACUCCUACGGGAGGCAGCAGUAGGGAAUCUUCGGCAAUGGACGGAAGUCUGACCGAGCAACGCCGCGUGAGUGAAGAAGGUUUUCGGAUCGUAAAGCUCUGUUGUAAGAGAAGAACGAGUGUGAGAGUGGAAAGUUCACACUGUGACGGUAGCUGACCAGAAAGGGACGGCUAACUACGUG
RNAcentral lists this ribosomal RNA (495 nucleotides) under uncultured bacterium. RNAcentral describes it as "partial 16S ribosomal RNA". It matches the Rfam family "Bacterial small subunit ribosomal RNA", at positions 28 to 507 of the family's 1533-position model. The record is from RNAcentral.